Long non-coding RNA from Eucalyptus grandis, 1158 nucleotides. RefSeq lists it as uncharacterized. The transcript is spliced from 3 exons. Lineage: Eukaryota; Viridiplantae; Streptophyta; Magnoliopsida; Myrtales; Myrtaceae. The record is from RefSeq and is a predicted model, not a curated record.
CAAAAAAAGAAACAACAAAUUGUUGUUUCUGGCCUUGAGAAACACUUCUUGGACGCUCCAAAGGAACAAAAAUGAAAAGAACAAAAAAACGAAACGGGAACACUUCGUUCGUUCGUGCUCUCCUUCGUUCGUCCCCUUCUCCUUCGUUCGUCCUCCUUCUCCGGUGACUCCUCACUCGGCCAACGCUCCGGCGAAGAACGACGCCGACACACCGGCUGUCUCCGGCAACUUUCCGGCGUGUCUCCCUUCUCUCCGGCACCUCCCACUCGGCCUCGUCUCUCCGGCGACUCCACCGGCUGAAGCUCCGAAUCCAGGCUGGUGAAGCACGUGGCGAGGGCGUUCAACGACGAUUUCACCACCAAGGGGGAGAACCAGCCGAAGUCGGGCUGCAGCGUGGUUGUGUGGCAUCGUAAGAAGGAACAAAAAAAGAGCAAAAAUGUUUUCAUGCGCUCCCUUGGAUUCUCCUCCUCCGGCGUGAGAGUGAUUACAGCAUUAUUGGCCUCCCGAAGAAGUUUCCUACGGGAAAAGAAUAUCUGACGCUGCCUCCAUAACCUGAUCACCGAUAGUCUGCAGGCUGGCACUGUCUUACACAUUAGCCAUCAAGUCCUGGCCCCUUAUGGCGAACCAGAUCGAACACCACCCAUUUCACCUCUUCCACAGUAACUGGCGGGGUGGAGAGAAGAUCAAUAUGCUCAAUAGAUGAAGUAGUACCGAUGGUGUCCCAAAGCAUCUGCAUCAAUCGAUGAAGCUUAUGUUAAGAACACUGAGAACAGAAGCUCCUCAUCUGAUGCUAUUAUUGAUACCAAGAAGAACAGGGGAAGCAAGAUAUACAAGAGCAAUAAAAAGAAAACAUAUGAAGAAGAGGAAGUAGAGUAUAUACAUGCUGCUAAGAAGAUAUGCUGCUGAGAAGAAUGAGAAGAGAACCUGUUUCGAACACUCUGUAUAGUGCUGCAAGUCUUGGCUAGUCUCGACAAUUAGUCUAGUGUAAUUCAGUUCUGGAAGUUAGUUAGUUUUUGCUUCAGUUAGUUAGUUAUAUUUUCUUCAACUGAUUCAAUACCUAUAAAAACAAAUUUCAGAGAUAGUCCUUGUGUAUAAAAGGCUAACUCUCGAUUGAAUGUUAAUAAUGGAAAGGAAAGAGAAAGAAGUCUUUCAUCUCAA